RNAcentral lists this ribosomal RNA (492 nucleotides) under uncultured bacterium. RNAcentral describes it as "partial 16S ribosomal RNA". It matches the Rfam family "Bacterial small subunit ribosomal RNA", at positions 30 to 507 of the family's 1533-position model. The record is from RNAcentral.
AUUGAACGCUGGCGGCAUGCUUUACACAUGCAAGUCGAACGGUAACAGGCCUUCGGGUGCUGACGAGUGGCGGACGGGUGCGUAAUGCAUCGGAACGUGCCCAGAGGUGGGGGAUAACGCAGCGAAAGCUGUGCUAAUACCGCAUGUGAUCUGAGGAUGAAAGCGGGGGACCAGGCAGCAAUGUUUGGCCUCGCGCCUUUGGAGCGGCCGAUGUCGGAUUAGGUAGUUGGUGGGGUAAAGGCCUACCAAGCCGACGAUCUGUAGCUGAUCUGAGAGGACGACCAGCCACACUGGGACUGAGACACGGCCCAGACUCCUACGGGAGGCAGCAGUGGGGAAUUUUGGACAAUGGGCGCAAGCCUGAUCCAGCAAUGCCGCGUGCGGGAAGAAGGCCUUCGGGUUGUAAACCUCUUUUGUACGGAACGAAAAGGCUCUGGCUAAUACCUGGGGCUGAUGACGGUACCGUAAGAAUAAGCACCGGCUAACUACGUG